AUCCUGGCUCAGGAUGAACGCUAGCGGCAGGCUUAACACAUGCAAGUCGAGGGGCAGCAUGAGGGUUAGCAAUAACCCUUGAUGGCGACCGGCGCAAGGGUGCGUAACGCGUGAGCAACUUGCCCGUUUCAGGGGGAUAACCGGUGGAAACGCCGACUAAUACCCCAUGGCAUCAUAUUAAGGCAUCUUUAUAUGAUUAAAGAAUUUCGGAAACGGAUAGGCUCGCGUGACAUUAGCUAGAUGGCGGGGUAACGGCCCACCAUGGCGACGAUGUCUAGGGGUUCUGAGAGGAAGGUCCCCCACACUGGAACUGAGACACGGUCCAGACUCCUACGGGAGGCAGCAGUGAGGAAUAUUGGUCAAUGGUCUGACGACUGAACCAGCCAUGCCGCGUGAAGGUGACGGCCCUAUGGGUCUUAAACUUCUUUUGUAAGGGAGCAAUAAGGUGUACGUGUACAUCGAUGAGAGUACCUUACGAAUAAGCAUCGGCUAACUCCGUG
RNAcentral lists this ribosomal RNA (500 nucleotides) under uncultured bacterium. RNAcentral describes it as "bacterial SSU rRNA". It matches the Rfam family "Bacterial small subunit ribosomal RNA", at positions 16 to 507 of the family's 1533-position model. The record is from RNAcentral.